UAGCGUGAGGGAAGUAGGCCCUACRGGUUGUGAACCUCUUUUGCGUGGGGAUAACCGGCGCCACUUGUGGCGUCCUGCAGGUACCGCGCGAAUAAGGACCGGCUAAUUCCGUGCCAKCAGCCGCGGUAAUACUGAASGUCCGGGCGUUAUCCGGAUUCAUUGGGUUUAAAGGGAGCGUAGGCCGCCCCUUAAGCGUGCCGUGAAAAGCAGCGGCUCAACCGCUGUCGUGCGGCGCGAACUGGGGGGCUUGAGUGCGCGGGAGGCAGGCGGAAUUCGUGGUGUAGCGGUGAAAUGCAUAGAUAUCACGAGGAACCCCGAUUGCGAAGGCAGCCUGCCGCAGCGCAACUGACGCUGAUGCUCGAAGGCGCGGGUAUCGAACAGGAUUAGAUACCCUGGUAGUCCGCGCGGUAAACGAUGGACGCCCGCCGUGGGGGAUUGAUUUUCCGCGGCCAAGCGAAAGCGUUAAGCGUCCCACCUGGGGAGUACGCCGGCAACGGUGAAACUCAAAGGAAUUGACGGGGGCCCGCACAAGCGGAGGAACAUGUGGUCUAAUUCGAUGAUACGCGAGGAACCUUACCCGGGCUUGAACUGCGGGGGAACCGGCCGGAGACGGCCGCGCCCUUCGGGGUCCCUGCGGAGGUGCUGCAUGGUUGUCGUCAGCUCGUGCCGUGAGGUGUCGGCUCAAGUGCCAUAACGAGCGCAACCCCCGCCCCCAGUUGCCAUCGGGCGAGGCCGGGCACUCUGGGGGGACUGCCGCCGCAAGGUGCGAGGAAGGCGGGGACGACGUCAAAUCAGCACGGCCCUUACGUCCGGGGCCACACACGUGUUACAAUGGGGCGCACAGAGCGCUGGGUGCGCGCAAGCGCGCCCGAAUCGCGAAACCGCCCCUCAGUUCGGACUGGGGUCUGCAACCCGACCCCACGAAGCUGGAUUCGCUAGUAAUCGCGCAUCAGCCAUGGCGCGGUGAAUACGUUCCCGGGCCUUGUACACACCGCCCGUCAAGCCAUGAAAGCCGGGGGCGCCUGAAGUCCGUGACCGCGAGGGUCGGCCUAGGGCGAGACCGGUGAUUGGGGCUAAGUCGUAACAAGGUAACCGUAAAUG
RNAcentral lists this ribosomal RNA (1101 nucleotides) under uncultured bacterium. RNAcentral describes it as "bacterial SSU rRNA". It matches the Rfam family "Bacterial small subunit ribosomal RNA", at positions 397 to 1508 of the family's 1533-position model. The record is from RNAcentral.